This 258-nucleotide ribosomal RNA is filed under the name uncultured bacterium. RNAcentral describes it as "partial 16S ribosomal RNA". It matches the Rfam family "Bacterial small subunit ribosomal RNA", at positions 524 to 776 of the family's 1533-position model. The record is from RNAcentral.
UACGUAGGGUGCGAGCGUUGUCCGGAAUUAUUGGGCGUAAAGGGCUCGUAGGCGGUUUGUCGCGUCGGGGAGUGAAAACCCAGGGCUUAACUCUGGGCUUGCUUUCGAUACGGGCAGACUAGAGGUAUGCAGGGGAGAACGGAAUUCCGUGGUGUAGCGGUGAAAUGCGCAGAGUAUCAGGAGGAACGCCGGUGGCGAAAGGCGGUCUCUGGGCAUUACCUGACCGCUGAGGAGCGAAAGUGUGGGGAGGCGAACAGG